This 159-nucleotide ribosomal RNA is filed under the name fungal sp. TRN256. RNAcentral describes it as "5.8S ribosomal RNA". It matches the Rfam family "5.8S ribosomal RNA". Rfam says of the family: 5.8S ribosomal RNA (5.8S rRNA) is a component of the large subunit of the eukaryotic ribosome. It is transcribed by RNA polymerase I as part of the 45S precursor that also contains 18S and 28S rRNA. Functionally, it is thought that 5.8S rRNA may be involved in ribosome translocation. Lineage: Eukaryota; Fungi. The record is from RNAcentral. RNAcentral also lists the same sequence under 12 other names.
AAAACUUUCAACAACGGAUCUCUUGGUUCUGGCAUCGAUGAAGAACGCAGCGAAAUGCGAUAAGUAAUGUGAAUUGCAGAAUUCAGUGAAUCAUCGAAUCUUUGAACGCACAUUGCGCCCCUUGGUAUUCCGAGGGGCAUGCCUGUUCGAGCGUCAUUA